This 790-nucleotide long non-coding RNA is filed under the name Setaria viridis. RNAcentral's name for it is "long non-coding RNA (SVIR_LNC001126)". The record is from RNAcentral. Lineage: Eukaryota; Viridiplantae; Streptophyta; Magnoliopsida; Poales; Poaceae.
UCUUCUUCUCAUGCUCCAGGUUACAAAGGGUGAAAGGGAAGGGGACGGUUUCAGGUGCAGUGGUAACUGCCACUGCAAGAUAAGCAGUAGCUGCAUCUGAACCAUCCAAGCCACAAACAGCGGAGGAUGAGAUCGAUUUUCCCCCCUCCUUUUUUCUUCACGUGCUGCUUUUGGAGAGGGAAAUGCAGAACAACGCAGAAGGCAUGCUCUACUUUCUCCAGAAAUUUCAAGAAAGAAGCUACUCACGCAAGCAACAACUCGAAAAUACAACUUGUGUAGUAAACCAAUCUGGGCUCCAAUUAACAGGGCAUGGAAAGGCAAACAAGAGUGAUUCCAACGCGAGAAAGCAUAGCAGGGAGGGAAUGCUGGGGGAUUGGAGCAGGAUUACAGAGGAGCAGGACGCGGACCAGCGCAACGUCCCUGUUGCCGCCGGCGAGAUGUCGCGCUGAUCUCCCUGACCGGUACCUCGGCGGCGUCCUCCCGGGUCUCCUUUCAGCGCGACCGCGCCGCAUCACGCUCAAAGCGACACCACCUCGCCGUAGUUCACGUCCGCACCCCCGAGUAGCUCGCCGGUCAUCGCUUCCGAGCUCCGUCUCCACAAAGAAAAUGGCGCCAAGGCCUCUGUGGUCACUGGCUUUUCCCUCCAAAAGCAGCGGCUGACAGCAUCAGGUGAAGAGAAGAGGAGGGGAAAAGCAUGGCUCUCAUCCUAGCCGUCGUUUGUCACUUAGAUGGUUGAGAUGUGGCUAUUGCUUACCUUACAGUAGCAGUUACCACUGCACCUGAUCUUCCC